CUAGUAAUAUAAUAGAAGUGUAUGUAUAAGGCGGUGUGGGCAUAUUUCUCUACUUAGCAUAAGAGUAGUGAGGGACGGUUGGAAGGAUUAAAAAAAAAAAUAUAGUAAUAAUAAAAAGAUAAAAAGAGAAAGAAGUAGCCAAUUGUAUGGCCCUAAAGGAAACCAAAAAGAGAAAGAAGAAAGGAAAAGGAAAGGGUUGCCGGAAAACAAAACUCAGUAGGCAGGCAAGGAGAAGGAGCAGACAACUUCAAUAAUACCAAAGGAAAAGUGAAUAAAUUGGGAAGUAGCCAAGGUACAAGGUUGGGUCGCUACUGCCAGGUCUAGAAUCUUGAGUGUGAAUUGGGAAAAGAACAAUGGAAUGUCUUUUAUUUAAGAUGUAAAUAUUAUAGUAUAAUUUAAUAGUGUAACUUGUCACUAACGAUUUAGUUUGUCAGAAUUUGCAUAAUGGGCCUAUAAUUUGUUUUUAAAUUGUAAACUGUUAAACAGAUACUCUGAUGUAGGAUGACGUUAUGUUUGAAUGAGGUUAAUGCAGAUGGUUAGAUGCA
Cornus florida is the source of this 545-nucleotide long non-coding RNA. RefSeq lists it as uncharacterized. The transcript is spliced from 3 exons. The record is from RefSeq and is a predicted model, not a curated record. Lineage: Eukaryota; Viridiplantae; Streptophyta; Magnoliopsida; Cornales; Cornaceae.